UAAUUAGAAGGGAAGGGGAGAAUCUAUCACGUGCUUGCGAGGGAGGGCGCUGUUUUGCUGAAAUAGCACCUGUUCUAGUAGAGUUUAAAACAAGCUCAUAGUGAGAAAAUCAAGGUGCUUGCAACAUUGAGGAUUUUUUCUUCUCUGCAGAACUGGUUUCAGUAGCCAGUUUCCUAUGAGAUCAGUCUUGAACAAACAGAGGAAGGGAGGUUCUGAAUUAAAAAGCAUUUUUACAGCAUCCAGUAAUGCAAUGGCUGGACGACCACGAUGUGUCAGAUUAACUGGGUGGACACACUGGAUAUUAUCAACAAUUCUGCUGCUGUGGAGUUACCAGAUCAGUGGACAAGGACAAGGUAGGCAUUUUGCCAUAAAAAUGGCUAAGGUUGUCUUGUUGGAUACCCUUUGCUGCUUAUUUGCUGAGUUGUGUCCUGUGGAAGAUGACAAGAAAACUGAAGUGACUGUAUUAGCGAAGCUGUUUGGCAGAUAUUAUAAUUCAUUGACAACAUUCACACUUUGAGAUCAGAUUUUGCACUUUGAUAUUUAUUAUUAUUAGUGUUAUUUUGUUUAGCUUUGUAUUUUUAAAUGGCUUUUUAAGGUAACUGCAACAUACAUGUAUAACAAGGGGGAUAUACUUACAAUUCCUGCAAGACAGCAGAAGGCAGAAAGACUUGCUGAUGAU
Molecule: long non-coding RNA, 679 nt
Organism: Anser brachyrhynchus (Pink-footed goose)
Lineage: Eukaryota; Metazoa; Chordata; Aves; Anseriformes; Anatidae
Source: Ensembl